GAUGAAGAACGUAGCGAAAUGCGAUAAGUAGUGUGAAUUGCAGAAUUCAGUGAAUCAUCGAAUCUUUGAACGCACAUUGCGCCCCUUGGUAUCCCGAGGGGCAUGCCUGUUCGAGCGUCAUUUCACCACUCAAGCCUGGCUUGGUGUUGGGCGACGUCCCCUUUGGGGACGCGCCUCGAAACGCUCGGCGGCGUGGCACCGGCUUUAAGCGUAGCAGAAUCUUUCGCUUUGGAAGUCGGGGCCCCGUCUGCCGGAAGACCUACUCGCAAGGUUGACCUCGGAUCAGGCAGGGAUACCCGCUGAACUUAAGCAUAUCAAUAAAGCGGAGGA
Molecule: unclassified non-coding RNA, 330 nt
Filed under: soil metagenome
Description: partial contains 5.8S ribosomal RNA, internal transcribed spacer 2, and large subunit ribosomal RNA
Rfam family: 5.8S ribosomal RNA (bases 1-120)
Source: RNAcentral